RNAcentral lists this ribosomal RNA (492 nucleotides) under uncultured bacterium. RNAcentral's name for it is "partial 16S ribosomal RNA". It matches the Rfam family "Bacterial small subunit ribosomal RNA", at positions 28 to 507 of the family's 1533-position model. The record is from RNAcentral.
GGUGAACGCUGGCGGUAGGCCUAACACAUGCAAGUCGAACGGCAGCACAGUAAGAGCUUGCUCUUACGGGUGGCGAGUGGCGGACGGGUGAGGAAUACAUCGGAAUCUACUUUUUCGUGGGGGAUAACGUAGGGAAACUUACGCUAAUACCGCAUACGACCUACGGGUGAAAGCAGGGGAUCUUCGGUCCUUGCGCGAUUGAAUGAGCCGAUGUCGGAUUAGCUAGUUGGCGGGGUAAAGGCCCACCAAGGCGACGAUCCGUAGCUGGUCUGAGAGGAUGAUCAGCCACACUGGAACUGAGACACGGUCCAGACUCCUACGGGAGGCAGCAGUGGGGAAUAUUGGACAAUGGGCGCAAGCCUGAUCCAGCCAUACCGCGUGGGUGAAGAAGGCCUUCGGGUUGUAAAGCCCUUUUGUUGGGAAAGAAAAGCAGCAGGUUAAUACCCCGCUGUUCUGACGGUACCCAAAGAAUAAGCACCGGCUAACUUCGUG